Molecule: ribosomal RNA, 220 nt
Filed under: uncultured bacterium
Lineage: Bacteria
Description: partial 16S ribosomal RNA
Rfam family: Bacterial small subunit ribosomal RNA
Source: RNAcentral
UGGCGGACGGGUGAGUAACGCGUGAGAAUCUGGCUUCAGGUUCGGGACAACCACUGGAAACGGUGGCUAAUACCGGAUGUGCCGAAAGGUGAAAGAUUUAUUGCCUGAAGAUGAGCUCGCGUCCGAUUAGCUAGUUGGUGGGGUAAAGGCUUACCAAGGCGGCGAUCGGUAGCUGGUCUGAGAGGACGAUCAGCCACACUGGAACUGAGACACGGUCCAG